GCAUAUCAAUAAGCGGAGGAAAAGAAACCAACAGGGAUUACCUCAGUAACGGCGAGUGAAGCGGUAACAGCUCAAAUUUGAAAUCGGCCACCCGGUCGAGUUGUAAUUUGCAGAGGAUGCUUCGGCUUACGCCCCGGUCCAAGUCCGUUGGAACACGGCGUCGCAGAGGGUGAGAAUCCCGUUGCGGCCGGCGGCCACGCCAUGUGAAGCUCCUUCGACGAGUCGAGUUGUUUGGGAAUGCAGCUCAAAAUGGGAGGUAAAUUUCUUCUAAAGCUAAAUAUUGGCCCGAGACCGAUAGCGCACAAGUAGAGUGAUCGAAAGAUGAAAAGCAUCUUGGAAAGGAAUCGAAACAGCACGUGAAAUUGUUGAAGGGGAAGCGCUCGCGGCGAGAGCCCGCGCGGUCGUUCACCGGGGCCUCGCGCCCCGGGCACGCGGCCGCGUCGGCCAGCAUCGGUUCGGGCGGCGGGAGAAACGCCGACGGCAUGUAGCUCCCCUCGGGGAGUGUUAUAGCCGCGGCGCAAUACCGCCCGCCUGGACCGUGGCACGCGCUCUCGCUCGGAUGCUGGCGUAAUCGCCGCGAGCGGCCCGUCUUGAAACACGGACC
This 604-nucleotide ribosomal RNA is filed under the name Arthrographis kalrae. Its description in RNAcentral is "eukaryotic LSU rRNA". It matches the Rfam family "Eukaryotic large subunit ribosomal RNA", at positions 38 to 667 of the family's 3401-position model. Lineage: Eukaryota; Fungi; Ascomycota; Dothideomycetes; Eremomycetales; Eremomycetaceae. The record is from RNAcentral.